Molecule: ribosomal RNA, 454 nt
Filed under: Streptomyces sp. BAB-4909
Lineage: Bacteria; Bacillati; Actinomycetota; Actinomycetes; Kitasatosporales; Streptomycetaceae
Description: bacterial SSU rRNA
Rfam family: Bacterial small subunit ribosomal RNA
Source: RNAcentral
UGGCGGCGUGCUUAMACAUGCAAGUCGAACGAUGAACCACUUCGGYGGGGAUUAGUGGCGAACGGGUGAGUAACACGUGGGCAAUCUGCCCUUCACUCUGGGACAAGCCCUGGAAACGGGGUCUAAUACCGGAUACUGACCCUYGCAGGCAUCUGCGAGGUUCGAAAGCUCCGGCGGUGAAGGAUGAGCCCGCGGCCUAUCAGCUUGUUGGUGAGGUAAUGGCUCACCAAGGCGACGACGGGUAGCCGGCCUGAGAGGGCGACCGGCCACACUGGGACUGAGACACGGCCCAGACUCCUACGGGAGGCAGCAGUGGGGAAUAUUGCACAAUGGGCGAAAGCCUGAUGCAGCGACGCCGCGUGAGGGAUGACGGCCUUCGGGUUGUAAACCUCUUUCAGCAGGGAAGAAGCGAAAGUGACGGUACCUGCAGAAGAAGCGCCGGCUAWCUACKUGC